Molecule: non-coding RNA, 156 nt
Organism: Populus trichocarpa (black cottonwood)
Lineage: Eukaryota; Viridiplantae; Streptophyta; Magnoliopsida; Malpighiales; Salicaceae
Source: Rfam
UCUAGAACUCAAGAUAUGAACUGAAAACCGAACAGUGUCUAAGCUGCAUGACAGAUUCUGACUUCUCCGUUGUUGCUAAGAUUUGAACUUGAAAAUGGCAGAAUUGAGUCUUGGACUCCUCAUGAAAGUUUUAGGUCUAUGUCUUAGCUUUCCAUC